Molecule: ribosomal RNA, 301 nt
Filed under: uncultured bacterium
Lineage: Bacteria
Description: partial 16S ribosomal RNA
Rfam family: Bacterial small subunit ribosomal RNA
Source: RNAcentral
CAGUAGCCGCGGUAAUACGAAGGGGGCUAGCGUUGUUCGGAAUUACUGGGCGUAAAGCGCACGUAGGCGGAUAUUUAAGUCAGGGGUGAAAUCCCGCAGCUCAACUGCGGAACUGCCGUUGAUACUGGGUAUCUUGAGUAUGGAAGAGGUUAGUGGAAUUGCGAGUGUAGAGGUGAAAUGCGUAGAUAUUCGCAGGAACACCAGAGGCGAAGGCGGCUAACUGGUCCAUAACUGACGCUGAGGUGCGAAAGCGUGGGGAGCAAACAGGAUUAGAUACCCCCGUAGUCCCUGUCUCUUAUAC